RNAcentral lists this ribosomal RNA (456 nucleotides) under Triticum aestivum (bread wheat). Its description in RNAcentral is "partial small subunit ribosomal RNA". The record is from RNAcentral. Lineage: Eukaryota; Viridiplantae; Streptophyta; Magnoliopsida; Poales; Poaceae.
AUGGAAAUUACUUUGUGUGAAGCUACUAAAUUGCUAGACAAUAUUAUGGCAAAUUAUUCACAAUGGCAUAUCGAAAUAGCUCCUACUAGUAAAAAAGUUAAUUCGGUUGAAGAUAUUUCUUCUUUGAGUGAAAAAGUUGAUGCUCUUACGAAAUUGGUUGCUAAUAAAAGUGCUCCCAUUGAUUUUAAUGAUGUGCCUUUGUCUACCUUGAUUGAGCAAAAUAGUGAUGCCGUAGAUGUGAAUUUUAUCUCUCGAAACAAUUUCAAUAACAAUGCUUAUAGAUGUAAUUUUAAUCAUAGGCCUUUUCCUACUAAUUCGUCUAAUAAUUAUGGUAAUUCCUAUGGUAAUCCUUCUUAUAAUAACAAUAGGAACACCUCUGAUCUUGAGAAUAAUAUUAAAGAAUUUAUCAACACUCAAAAGGUUUUUAAUGCUAUGAUAGAAGAAAAGCUGAAUUAG